GAUGAACGCUGGCGGCGUGCCUAAUACAUGCAAGUCGAGCGAACGGGCGAGAAGCUUGCUUCUCUGAUGUUAGCGGCGGACGGGUGAGUAACACGUGGAUAACCUGCCUAUAAGACUGGGAUAACUUCGGGAAACCGGAGCUAAUACCGGAUAAUAUUUUGAACCGCAUGGUUCAAAAGUGAAAGACGGUCUUGCUGUCACUUAUAGAUGGAUCCGCGCUGCAUUAGCUAGUUGGUAAGGUAACGGCUUACCAAGGCAACGAUGCAUAGCCGACCUGAGAGGGUGAUCGGCCACACUGGAACUGAGACACGGUCCAGACUCCUACGGGAGGCAGCAGUAGGGAAUCUUCCGCAAUGGGCGAAAGCCUGACGGAGCAACGCCGCGUGAGUGAUGAAGGUCUUCGGAUCGUAAAACUCUGUUAUUAGGGAAGAACAUAUGUGUAAGUAACUGUGCACAUCUUGACGGUACCUAAUCAGAAAGCCACGGCUAACUACGUG
Molecule: ribosomal RNA, 497 nt
Filed under: uncultured bacterium
Lineage: Bacteria
Description: partial 16S ribosomal RNA
Rfam family: Bacterial small subunit ribosomal RNA
Source: RNAcentral